Molecule: ribosomal RNA, 253 nt
Filed under: uncultured bacterium
Lineage: Bacteria
Description: partial 16S ribosomal RNA
Rfam family: Bacterial small subunit ribosomal RNA
Source: RNAcentral
GACGAACCACCCAAACGUUAUUCGGAAUUACUGGGCUUAAAGCGUGCGUAGGCGGCCAUGUAAGUAGGGUGUGAAAUCCCACAGCUCAACUGUGGAACUGCGCUCUAAACUACAUGGCUAGAGGGAUAUAGAGGUGAGCGGAACUGAUGGUGGAGCGGUGAAAUGCGUUGAUAUCAUCAGGAACACCGGAGGCGAAGGCGGCUCACUGGGUAUCUUCUGACGCUGAGGCACGAAAGCUAGGGGAGCAAACAGG